This 640-nucleotide long non-coding RNA is filed under the name Apteryx owenii (little spotted kiwi). RNAcentral describes it as "lncRNA (ENSAOWG00000012254.1)". The record is from RNAcentral. Lineage: Eukaryota; Metazoa; Chordata; Aves; Apterygiformes; Apterygidae.
GAAAACAGUGGUUUUAAAAUCACAGCAUCUGUGCACAGGGCUCCCUUCCAAAGGCCCAGCCGGAGAGGGGAACCUGGGCUUUUUUGCCAAAUCUACUUUAUCAUUUUUUGCUUUUUGAUUAUUUAAAAUACAGAUACACACACUGAAAGGUUUUUUUCCCCGAAGCUGAAACCUGGUUGCAGCAGUGCCRAGGAUGAAGGAUUGUUUUGAACAGUGCUACAGCCACAGGAAAAAAUUCUCUCCCCUCCAGGAGAGAGCCAGUUGGAAAAGGGAACCAGAUGCAUCAGAUGAGCGGGAAGAAAAAACAAAACAACUGCAGCUCUCCCUCCGAGCCGUACAGCCAGUGACAGCUGGAGGAUCCGUCUAGACACCAGGACACGUCUCUUGCUGCUCUAACUGUGGAACCCUUGGAAGCUGUCACGUGUUGAUUGUGUAAAUGAAGCCUCUAAGAAAAGUCCAUUUGAAACCUCCCAGUGAGGUAGGAGUGUGCAACUCACCACAGCAUGUCCAAGCCAUCCAUCCAGCAACAACCGCUGGGCAACACUCAGCAGCUCUCAACAUCUAUAAAGUUCCCUCUGACAUCAUGGUGUGUGACCUUGGAGAUGCCUCAGCAGCACUGAGGCUUCAUAACUCCCUGUGA